GACGAACGCUGGCGGCGUGCUUAACACAUGCAAGUCGAACGGAAAGGCCCCCUUGUGGGGUACUCGAGUGGCGAACGGGUGAGUAACACGUGAGUAACCUACCCUUGACUUUGGGAUAACUUCAGGAAACUGGGGCUAAUACCGGAUAGGAGCUCCUGCUGCAUGGUGGGGGUUGGAAAGUUUCGGCGGUUGGGGAUGGGCUCGCGGCUUAUCAGCUUGUUGGUGGGGUAGUGGCUCACCAAGGCUUUGACGGGUAGCCGGCCUGAGAGGGUGACCGGCCACAUUGGGACUGAGAUACGGCCCAGACUCCUACGGGAGGCAGCAGUGGGGAACAUUGCACAAUGGGCGGAAGCCUGAUGCAGCAACGCCGCGUGCGGGAUGACGGCCUUCGGGUUGUAAACCGCUUUCGCCUGUGACGAAGCGUGAGUGACGGUAAUGGGUAAAGAAGCACCGGCUAACUACGUG
RNAcentral lists this ribosomal RNA (465 nucleotides) under uncultured bacterium. RNAcentral describes it as "partial 16S ribosomal RNA". It matches the Rfam family "Bacterial small subunit ribosomal RNA", at positions 28 to 507 of the family's 1533-position model. The record is from RNAcentral.